AAUCAACGCUGGCGGCGUGCCUCAGGCAUGCAAGUCGAACGAUUAAAGCUCUCUUCGGAGAGUGUAUAGAGUGGCGCACGGGGUGAGUAACACGUAAGUAAUCUACCCUCGAGUGGGGAAUAACAACCGGAAACGGUUGCUAAUACCGCAUAAUGCAGCGGCACCGCAAGGUGACAGUUGUUAAAGAUUUAUCGCUUGAGGAGGAGCUUGCGGCAGAUUAGCUAGUUGGUAGGGUAACGGCUUACCAAGGCUACGAUCUGUAACCGGUCUAAGAGGACGGUCGGUCACACUGACACUGAAUAACGGGUCAGACUCCUACGGGAGGCAGCAGUCGGGAAUUUUGGGCAAUGGGCGAAAGCCUGACCCAGCAACGCCGCGUGAAGGAUGAAGUAUUUCGGUAUGUAAACUUCGAAAGAAUAGGAAGAAUUAAUGACGGUACUAUUUAUAAGGUCCGGCUAACUACGUGCCAGCAGCCGCGGUAAGAGUCACGUCG
RNAcentral lists this ribosomal RNA (493 nucleotides) under uncultured bacterium. RNAcentral's name for it is "bacterial SSU rRNA". It matches the Rfam family "Bacterial small subunit ribosomal RNA", at positions 32 to 530 of the family's 1533-position model. The record is from RNAcentral.